GGAGGGGUGGCAGAGUGGUCGAAUGCGGCGGUCUCGAAAACCGUUAGGGGUGUAUGCCCCUCGAAGGUUCGAAUCCUUUCCCCUCCGCCA
Molecule: transfer RNA, 90 nt
Filed under: Alphaproteobacteria bacterium
Lineage: Bacteria; Pseudomonadati; Pseudomonadota; Alphaproteobacteria
Description: tRNA-Ser
Rfam family: tRNA
About the family: Transfer RNA (tRNA) molecules are approximately 80 nucleotides in length. Their secondary structure includes four short double-helical elements and three loops (D, anti-codon, and T loops). Further hydrogen bonds mediate the characteristic L-shaped molecular structure. tRNAs have two regions of fundamental functional importance: the anti-codon, which is responsible for specific mRNA codon recognition, and the 3' end, to which the tRNAs corresponding amino acid is attached (by aminoacyl-tRNA synthetases). tRNAs cope with the degeneracy of the genetic code in two manners: having more than one tRNA (with a specific anti-codon) for a particular amino acid; and 'wobble' base-pairing, i.e. permitting non-standard base-pairing at the 3rd anti-codon position.
Source: RNAcentral